Molecule: non-coding RNA, 344 nt
Filed under: Tropilaelaps mercedesae
Lineage: Eukaryota; Metazoa; Arthropoda; Arachnida; Mesostigmata; Laelapidae
Description: Eukaryotic large subunit ribosomal RNA
Rfam family: Eukaryotic large subunit ribosomal RNA
Source: Rfam by way of RNAcentral
AUCCUGCCGCUUUGGGAGAAAGGCUAGCUCUGAAGGUUGAUCCAGUCAGGUCGAUAGUGAAAGGAUUUAUGACAUUUUGUGGUUGGUGUGUGGACUUCGUAUCUGUCCGGUUGAUGACCAAAGUUGUGUUGAUUGCCAUUGCUAGGCCUUUCGGUUUGUUCUGAUAUAGUUGGAAAUCAUCAACUUUGCAAUUGAUACGAACUACCUAAAACAAAGCAUUGUAAAGUCCAAUAAUUGGUGAUAACAUAAUGUGAUUUCUGCCCAGUGUUCUAAACGCCAAAGUGAAGAGAUUCUUUGAAGUACGUGGAAACGGCUUGAGCGUCUGUUUAUUAUUCAAGUCGUCA